UACGGGGGAGCAAGCGUUGUUCGGAUUUACUGGGCGUAAAGGGCGCGUAGGCGGUCGUGACAAGUCACUUGUGAAAUCUCCGGGCUUAACUCGGAACGGUCAAGUGAUACUGUCGGACUAGAGUACAGAAGGGCAACUGGAAUUCUCGGUGUAGCGGUGAAAUGCGUAGAUAUCGGAGGAACACCAGUGGCGAAGGCGGCAACCUGGACAGAUAUUGACGCUGAGGUGCGAAAGCGUGGGAGCAACAG
This 248-nucleotide ribosomal RNA is filed under the name uncultured bacterium. RNAcentral describes it as "partial 16S ribosomal RNA". It matches the Rfam family "Bacterial small subunit ribosomal RNA", at positions 524 to 775 of the family's 1533-position model. The record is from RNAcentral.